Molecule: transfer RNA, 75 nt
Filed under: Candidatus Woesearchaeota archaeon
Lineage: Archaea; Nanobdellati; Candidatus Woesearchaeota
Description: tRNA-Leu
Source: RNAcentral
GGGCCCGUAGCUCAGCCUGGCUGGAGCACUAGAUCCAAAAUCGAGAGGUCCUGCGUUCAAAUCGCAGCGGGCCCA